This 468-nucleotide ribosomal RNA is filed under the name uncultured bacterium. RNAcentral describes it as "partial 16S ribosomal RNA". It matches the Rfam family "Bacterial small subunit ribosomal RNA", at positions 28 to 507 of the family's 1533-position model. The record is from RNAcentral.
GACGAACGCUGGCGGCGUGCUUAACACAUGCAAGUCGAACGGAAAGGCCCUGCUUUUGUGGGGUGCUCGAGUGGCGAACGGGUGAGUAACACGUGAGUGACCUGCCCUUGACUUUGGGAUAACUUCAGGAAACUGGGGCUAAUACCGGAUAGGAGCUCCUGCUGCAUGGUGGGGGUUGGAAAGUUUCGGCGGUUGGGGAUGGACUCGCGGCUUAUCAGCUUGUUGGUGGGGUAGUGGCUUACCAAGGCUUUGACGGGUAGCCGGCCUGAGAGGGUGACCGGCCACAUUGGGACUGAGAUACGGCCCAGACUCCUACGGGAGGCAGCAGUGGGGAAUAUUGCACAAUGGGCGGAAGCCUGAUGCAGCAACGCCGCGUGCGGGAUGACGGCCUUCGGGUUGUAAACCGCUUUCGCUUGUGACGAAGCGUGAGUGACGGUAAUGGGUAAAGAAGCACCGGCUAACUACGUG